GACGUAGGGGGCGAGCGUUGUCCGGAUUUACUGGGCGUAAAGGGCUCGUAGGCUGCCAACUAAGUCGGACGUGAAAUCCCUCGGCUUAACCGGGGAACUGCGUCCGAUACUGGAUGGCUUGAGUUUGGGAGAGGGAUGCGGAAUUCCAGGUGUAGCGGUGAAAUGCGUAGAUAUCUGGAGGAACACCGGUGGCGAAGGCGGCAUUCUGGACUGCAACUGACACUGAUGAACGAAAGCCAGGGGAGCAAACGGG
Molecule: ribosomal RNA, 253 nt
Filed under: uncultured bacterium
Lineage: Bacteria
Description: partial 16S ribosomal RNA
Rfam family: Bacterial small subunit ribosomal RNA
Source: RNAcentral